CAAACCCCCAGCAUCCUGCUGCAGGCAAGCCUCUCUGGACUGAGCUGUGUCUAACAGGCACCUCUCCUUUCCCACUCCAUUGCGGGACCCCCGCCAAGAGUGACCUAUGCCCUGAAGGGGGAGCCAGGCUAGGAGCCACUGCAGCUGUUGGCAGAGGAGGGCCCGGGAGGAGAGAAAAGGGAGGCCCUGUGAUUGGGCUCGCUGGCAUUGUGACUGCAGGGAGCUCUGCAUUGAGCCCUGCGCCGGUCCCCCACCGGCCUCUCCUCCAGUCUCAGCCCUAGUUUUCCCUUUCUCACAAGGCGUUUGAUUUCUGCAGACACUCCGGUGGUGGGAGCACUAGACGUGCACAGACAGACAGUCAUGGACCCCUCCCCUUGCUGCUCUGGUGCAGGACGGGGCUAUUCCGCAUGUGACUGAGAACAUGCCUAUUGCAUUGGCCACCUAAAGUUUUAACGUGAAACACCCAGGUAGGAGGGAAAGGCUCCUGCAGCAGCGCCUCUCAUGGGAUGUCACGUGGGUCUGAGGAUCAGCUGGCUUGCCAUGACACUUAAACCUACCCACACUGCAAGUGCGCUGCAGGACGGGGAAGCCCUGGGAUGCCUAGCUUAGUUGGGUACUGUGCAGUCCUGUAGCUUCACUUCCUGUCCUAAACACUGGGGUAGUGUUGCUAUGCGCUGUUAAACAGUUGCUGCGUUCCUCCCCAGAAGUGGCUGCAUCUUAGCAGAUGGCUGCCAUAUGAACCCUGUGCAUAGCUGGUAUGUCAGUUCCCAAAAUGGAAAUGCUCCCUGGAUAUUAAUUCCUUUCCCUUCACUCACCCUGUAAUUGUUCAGAAAGUGAAAAUAGAGUCAUGUUAAUACUAUUUUGGAGAAAAAUCUUCUAUUUAGCUUUUUCUAAGCAGCAUCGCCCUCUGCCAACCGGGGGACUGCCAGCCCUGCCCAGAUACCAUAGUGGGUGGCACUUCAUAACGACACAGACAGAGAGAACCCAUUCCAGACCAGUGCCCUGGUGUUUGGAGAUCUGGAUUGCAGCUGCUCUGACUCUGAAUUUACUCCCCUCGCUAGGAGAUCCGGAAGUUGGCACUCAGCCU
This 1087-nucleotide long non-coding RNA is filed under the name Chrysemys picta bellii (western painted turtle). RNAcentral's name for it is "lncRNA (ENSCPBG00000021604.1)". Lineage: Eukaryota; Metazoa; Chordata; Testudines; Emydidae. The record is from RNAcentral.